RNAcentral lists this ribosomal RNA (301 nucleotides) under uncultured bacterium. RNAcentral describes it as "partial 16S ribosomal RNA". It matches the Rfam family "Bacterial small subunit ribosomal RNA", at positions 509 to 809 of the family's 1533-position model. The record is from RNAcentral.
CAGUAGCCACGGUAAUACGGAGGGUGCAAGCGUUAAUCGGAAUUACUGGGCGUAAAGCGCACGCAGGCGGUCUGACAAGUCAGAUGUGAAAUCCCCGGGCUUAACCUGGGAACUGCAUUUGAAACUGUCAGGCUGGAGUCUUGUAGAGGGGGGUGGAAUUCCAGGUGUAGCGGUGAAAUGCGUAGAGAUCUGGAGGAAUACCGGUGGCGAAGGCGGCCCCCUGGACAAAGACUGACGCUCAGGUGCGAAAGCGUGGGGAGCAAACAGGAUUAGAUACCCGGGUAGUCCCUGUCUCUUAUAA